UUAAAUUGAAGAGUUUGAUCAUGGCUCAGAUUGAACGCUGGCGGCAGGCCUAACACAUGCAAGUCGAACGGUAACAGAAAGCAGCUUGCUGCUUUGCUGACGAGUGGCGGACGGGUGAGUAAUGUCUGGGAAACUGCCUGAUGGAGGGGGAUAACUACUGGAAACGGUAGCUAAUACCGCAUAACGUCGCAAGACCAAAGAGGGGGACCUUCGGGCCUCUUGCCAUCGGAUGUGCCCAGAUGGGAUUAGCUAGUAGGUGGGGUAAAGGCUCACCUAGGCGACGAUCCCUAGCUGGUCUGAGAGGAUGACCAGCCACACUGGAACUGAGACACGGUCCAGACUCCUACGGGAGGCAGCAGUGGGGAAUAUUGCACAAUGGGCGCAAGCCUGAUGCAGCCAUGCCGCGUGUAUGAAGAAGGCCUUCGGGUUGUAAAGUACUUUCAGCGGGGAGGAAGGGAGUAAAGUUAAUACCUUUGCUCAUUGACGUUACCCGCAGAAGAAGCACCGGCUAACUCCGUGCCAGCAGCCGCGGUAAUACGGAGGGUGCAAGCGUUAAUCGGAAUUACUGGGCGUAAAGCGCACGCAGGCGGUUUGUUAAGUCAGAUGUGAAAUCCCCGGGCUCAACCUGGGA
RNAcentral lists this ribosomal RNA (631 nucleotides) under Escherichia coli. RNAcentral's name for it is "bacterial SSU rRNA". It matches the Rfam family "Bacterial small subunit ribosomal RNA", at positions 1 to 619 of the family's 1533-position model. Lineage: Bacteria; Pseudomonadati; Pseudomonadota; Gammaproteobacteria; Enterobacterales; Enterobacteriaceae. The record is from RNAcentral.